GAGGGGAAGGGCAUAGAACACAUCUAGGAGAAGCGGACACCUCUUUCUCAAAGAGCAGGUCAGAGGAGACUUCUCUGAUAAGGUGCCAUUGACCGGGACCUGGAUGAAGUUAGAACCUGAAACAAACAAAUGUCUGGAUGAGAGCUUUGUCUGACUGAGAGAAGAGAAAGUAAAGAGGUCCCAGGACCUGAGACUACCGGAUGUGUUGACAGAAAAGAACAAGCCCAGGGUAGCCGGAGUGGGUAGGAAAACAGAUGGAGUGAGAUUAGGUGACUUUCUCCAGAUCACCCACACCCACCAAAUCAGGAGUGGAACACAGGUCUCCCCAUGGAUUAGUGACAAAAAAGCUCACAGGGAGAGACAGAACGUUCCAUGUCAAGGGAUCUAUUUCAGAUUUUAUUUAUUUGAGAAAGAGAGCAUGGGGGCCA
Molecule: long non-coding RNA, 428 nt
Organism: Mustela erminea (ermine)
Lineage: Eukaryota; Metazoa; Chordata; Mammalia; Carnivora; Mustelidae
Exons: 3
Source: RefSeq, a predicted model, not a curated record